RNAcentral lists this ribosomal RNA (468 nucleotides) under uncultured bacterium. Its description in RNAcentral is "partial 16S ribosomal RNA". It matches the Rfam family "Bacterial small subunit ribosomal RNA", at positions 28 to 507 of the family's 1533-position model. The record is from RNAcentral.
GACGAACGCUGGCGGCGUGCUUAACACAUGCAAGUCGAACGGAAAGGCCCGGCCUUGGGGGGGAGGGGGAGGGGCGAACGGGGGAGUAACACGUGAGUAAGCAGCCCCUGACCGUGGGAUAACCUAAGGAAACUGGGGCUAAUACGGGAAAGGAGCUCCCGCCGCAGGGUGGGGGCGGGAAAGUUUCGGCGGUUGGGGAUGGACUCGCGGCUUAUCAGCUUGAUGGUGGGGUAGUGGCUUACCAAGGCCUUGCAGGGUAGCCGGCCUGAGAGGGUGACCGGCCACAUUGCGACUGGUAUGCGGCCCAGCCUCCUACGGUAGGCAGCGCUGCGGUAUAUUGCACUAUGGGCGGGGCCCUGAUCCAGCAACGCCGCGUGCGGUGUGUCGUCCUUCGCUUUGUAUUCCGCUUUCGCCUUUGCCGGGACGUUAGUGACAGUACUGGGUGAAGAAGCUCCGGCUAACUACGUG